ACUGCUCAGUAACACGUGGACAACCUGCCCUUUAGGUUGGGUAUAAACCCGGGAAACUGGGUAUAAUACCCGAUAGGUCUCGAUUGCUGGAAUGCAUCGAGAUUUAAAGCUCCGGCGCCUAAGGAUGGGUCUGCGGCCUAUCAGGUAGUAGUGGGUGUAGCGUACCUACUAGCCUACGACGGGUACGGGUUGUGAGAGCAAGAGCCCGGAGAUGGAUUCUGAGACACGAAUCCAGGCCCUACGGGGUGCAGCAGGCGCGAAAACUUUACAAUGCUGGCAACAGCGAUAAGGGAACCUCGAGUGCCAGGUUACAAAUCUGGCUGUCGAGAUGCCUAAAAAGCAUUUCAUAGCAAGGGCCGGGCAAGACCGGUGCCAGCCGCCGCGGUAACACCGGCGGCUCGAGUGGUAACUGUUAUUAUUGGGUCUAAAGGGUCUGUAGCCGGCCGGAUAAGUCUCUUGAGAAAUCUGGCAGCUUAACUGUCAGGCUUUCAGGAGAUACUGUCUGGCUCGAGGCCGGGAGAGGUGAGAGGUACUUCAGGGGUAGGGGUGAAAUCUUGUAAUCCUUGAAGGACCACCAGUGGCGAAGGCGUCUCACCAGAACGGACCUGACGGCAAGGGACGAAAGCUAGGGGCACGAACCGGAUUAGAUACCCGGGUAGUCCUAGCCGUAAACGAUACUCGCUAGGUGUCGGCCACGGUGCGACCGUUGUCGGUGCCGUAGGGAAGCCGUGAAGCGAGCCACCUGGGAAGUACGGCCGCAAGGCUGAAACUUAAAGGAAUUGGCGGGGGAGCAC
RNAcentral lists this ribosomal RNA (794 nucleotides) under uncultured archaeon. Its description in RNAcentral is "bacterial SSU rRNA". It matches the Rfam family "Archaeal small subunit ribosomal RNA", at positions 85 to 879 of the family's 1478-position model. The record is from RNAcentral.